This 438-nucleotide long non-coding RNA is filed under the name Rosa chinensis. RNAcentral's name for it is "sRNA RchiOBHm_Chr2g0140891". The record is from RNAcentral. Lineage: Eukaryota; Viridiplantae; Streptophyta; Magnoliopsida; Rosales; Rosaceae.
UUUUUUGUGUGGUGCUAAUCUGUGAAUAAUUAUUUAUGCUGUUAGUGGGAAGAAAAUCUAUCCUUCAGACAAUAAGUCACGAUUCCCUCCGGUGCUAUGGUCCUUAAUUAUUGAAAGCAUUGCCCAGACAAAUCACAGUGUCUACAACUGAGAUACAGAAUGGUACUAACGUAGACGUUUUUGGAUCACCAACUAAAAAGGCAAUUCUACACUGAGGAAUUAAGAUUCUAUUCAAUCUCGAGGAUCAGAGCCCUUUCCAGUGCUCAAUCUAUCCAUAAAAGUUUCAGAUAACUACAACUUGAAUACAGCCGAAGUAGACAACACGCUCUGCUCCAGACACAGAAACAGGAAAUGCAAGCGGCUUUCCAUCGACUAUCAGUGACCCCAACAAUAAUCUGGAUCAACGUUAUCUUCUCAUUAGGUUUGAUUUCAAGUUAA